GCCUAGCUCAGUCGGUUAGAGCAUCGUGCUAAUAACGCGAGGGUCGCAGGUUCGAGCCCUGCAUCGACC
RNAcentral lists this transfer RNA (69 nucleotides) under Perkinsus marinus ATCC 50983. Its description in RNAcentral is "tRNA-Ile". The stretch from base 4 to 62 matches the Rfam family "tRNA", at positions 8 to 63 of the family's 71-position model. Rfam says of the family: Transfer RNA (tRNA) molecules are approximately 80 nucleotides in length. Their secondary structure includes four short double-helical elements and three loops (D, anti-codon, and T loops). The record is from RNAcentral. Lineage: Eukaryota; Perkinsozoa; Perkinsida; Perkinsidae.